GAUGAACGCUGGCGGCGUGCCUAAUACAUGCAAGUCGAGCGAACAGACGAGGAGCUUUCUCCUCUGACGUUAGCGGCGGACGGGUGAGUAACACGUGGAUAACCUACCUAUAAGACUGGGAUAACUUCGGGAAACCAGAGCUAAUACCGGAUAAUAUAUUGAACCGCAUGGUUCAAUAGUGAAAGACGGUUUUGCUGUCACUUAUAGAUGGAUCCGCGCCGCAUUAGCUGGUUGGUAAGGUAACGCCUUACCAAGGCAACGAUGCUUAUCCGACCGGAGAGGUUAAUCGGCCAACUGGAACCGGGACAAGGGUCAGACCCCCAACGGGAGGCAGAAGUGGGAAAUCUGCCGCAAUGGGCGAAGGCCGGACGAGGCAAAGCGGGGGGGGUGAUGAGGCUUUCGGGUUCGUAAAACUUUGUGAUGAGAAAAGAAAAAAUGUGUAAGUAACCAUGCAGGUCUGGAGGGUCCCAAAUAAGAAAGCCACGCCUAACUCCGU
RNAcentral lists this ribosomal RNA (496 nucleotides) under uncultured bacterium. RNAcentral describes it as "partial 16S ribosomal RNA". It matches the Rfam family "Bacterial small subunit ribosomal RNA", at positions 28 to 506 of the family's 1533-position model. The record is from RNAcentral.